AGUGAACGCUGGCGGUAGGCCUAACACAUGCAAGUCGAACGGCAGCACAGUAAGAGCUUGCUCUUACGGGUGGCGCGUGGCGGACGGGUGCGGAAUACAUCGGAAUCUACUUUUUCGUGGGGGAUAACGUAGGGAAACUUACGCUAAUACCGCAUACGACCUACGAGUGAAAGCAGGGGAUCUUCGGACCUUGCGCGAGUGAAUGAGCCGAUGUCGGAUUAGCUAGUUGGCGGGGUAAAGGCCCACCAAGGCGACGAUCCGUAGCUGGUCUGAGAGGAUGAUCAGCCACACUGGAACUGAGACACGGUCCAGACUCCUACGGGAGGCAGCAGUGGGGAAUAUUGGACAAUGGGCGCAAGCCUGAUCCAGCCAUACCGCGUGAGUGAAGAAGGCCUUCGGGUUGUAAAGCCCUUUUGUUGGGAAAGAAAAGCAGCAGGUUAAUACCCCGCUGUUCUGACGGUACCCAAAGAAUAAGCACCGGCUAACUUCGUG
RNAcentral lists this ribosomal RNA (492 nucleotides) under uncultured bacterium. Its description in RNAcentral is "partial 16S ribosomal RNA". It matches the Rfam family "Bacterial small subunit ribosomal RNA", at positions 29 to 507 of the family's 1533-position model. The record is from RNAcentral.